AUUUAAAAACAUAGCCCGAACGUAACCAACAAACACAGAGCUCUUAUCACUCUUUCGUUGAAAGCCUGAAACUGAGAAAUCUCACAGAGCGCAUGGAGAUCUCAUAGAGCUCGACGAUCAUGGAGAUCUCAUAGAGCUUGACGAUCAUCGAUUAGGUACGAUCGCACAGCUCCGAUUAGGUACGAUCUCGGUUUUGUGACUCUUCCUCUCUCUUGGCAUUGUGUUUCUCAGCUCCGGUUAGGCCAUUCGGACGCUGAUCUCAAAGGGUGCUAGAUUUGUUUCCAAUCCUGUUCUUUCAACCUGCCUCUGCAUUUUCUUCCCAAACGUGAUUUUAAAUAUAGCAAAAAGCUCAGCUAUUGAGGCUAACAUUAUGUCAUACCUGCCUCUCCUUCAAAUUAGCUGUCGUGUCUAAUCGGAAGUAUUACUUUCAAGUUCCAAACUUUUCUUAGUCUUAGGUUUUAAGAGAAGCAAAUGGUGCAGCCCACUGCUUAGCAACUUGGUCUUUAUUGAAUAAGCUGGCUAGUUAUUUUGUUUUAGGCUCUGCUCCUCAUGUUUUCAGUAGUGGUAAUCAAAUGGAGCUUUCUGUAGAGUUGAAAGAAGAAGUAAAGCACCACAAAAGCAUGCUCGAACAACAAGCUAUUCAAAUGAUAGAACAAAGAAGACAUUUUGAGGAACAACAAGCUAGUCAAAUGGCAGCACAAAGAGCACAUUGUGACAAUAUGAUGAUGCAGAUGUUGAGUUGUAUCACCUCGCAAUCAGCCCAAUCUAGUAGUGAUCACUAAGCAACUUGCAAGCUAAUGAGCAACGUGACAUGCUCCAUUCCUGAGUUUACUUGUGUUUCAUCUGCAAAGGUGGCUUUGCUGUUAAUUUGGGUUGCUGAUAUAAGGAAACAUGUGAAGAAUUUAGAAUCUGGGAAGGGACACGUAUAUAAAGCUGUGCAUGUAACCGAUUUUUAUUUCCUUUCAUCACCUUUGGCCUUAUAUAGGAUGUAUUAGGAUUUGUUCUGUUCACUUACUACCAUGUCAGAUUGUGCAAAGAAUCUUGUUUUUACAAUUUAAAACUCUUGCCCAUGUUGACUAUUGAAUUAGAUCAUAUAAAUAUUGAUCGGGUUAAUCUGACUUUUGGUAUCAUAUAAAU
Molecule: long non-coding RNA, 1137 nt
Organism: Quercus lobata
Lineage: Eukaryota; Viridiplantae; Streptophyta; Magnoliopsida; Fagales; Fagaceae
Exons: 7
Source: RefSeq, a predicted model, not a curated record